Molecule: small nuclear RNA, 110 nt
Organism: Dermochelys coriacea (leatherback sea turtle)
Lineage: Eukaryota; Metazoa; Chordata; Testudines; Dermochelyidae
Source: RefSeq, a predicted model, not a curated record
GCAUCUCCCCUCUACCACUCACAUAUACUAAACUUGGAACGAUACAGAGAAGAUUAGCGUGACCCCUGCACAACGAUGACACGCAACUUCAUGAACUGUUCCAUUAAAAA